AGAGCACCAAGCAUGAUACAUAGUAAAAACACUGAGCAAAAAUAACCUAGGCCUAUCAUUCAAACUGCAGAGAACCAAAAGCAAAGAGAAAAACAUUAAAAGAAAGGAAGAAGUCUUACCUAUGGAGGAACAAGGAUAGAAAUGGUAAAAGACUUCUGUUGAACACUGGGCAAACAGAAAUUGUGGAAGAAAAGAUUUAAAUCAGAAUAUGGAAAAGAAAAUGCCACCAACCUUGAACUCCUUAUCCAGUGAAACCAUUUUUGAGAAUUGAGAAAGAAAUAAGUACUUCUCCGAAAAGCCUAAGGGAAUCCAUUACACGACACACACAAAAAGUUAAAAACUUCUUCAGACAGAAAGAAAAUGAUAUAGGGCAGAUAUUUGGUCUUUAGAGAAAAACCAAGAGCACCAGAGAAAGAAUGGAUAAAAUAAACGGCAAACGCCCAGCUCAGGCAUGACACGCAACAGCAACGGAGGGCUCAUACAUCAUUACGUCCAGAUUCCUGCUGCGGCAGCCAUUCACUCAUUGGGAAAUACUGAGUGCGAGACUAACACCAACUGGAGUGCCAGGCUUCCUGAAAUGGACUGCUGCCAGGGGCCAGAAGGGAAUAACCCCAACCUACCCCACUCCUGCGGCAGUGAUGUGGGCCACACUACGAGGGCC
Molecule: long non-coding RNA, 661 nt
Organism: Chinchilla lanigera (long-tailed chinchilla)
Lineage: Eukaryota; Metazoa; Chordata; Mammalia; Rodentia; Chinchillidae
Exons: 3
Source: RefSeq, a predicted model, not a curated record